CAGCCGCCGCGGUAACACGGAGGGUGCAAGCGUUAAUCGGAAUUACUGGGCGUAAAGCGUGCGCAGGCGGUUUGUUAAGACAGAUGUGAAAUCCCCGGGCUCAACCUGGGAACUGCAUUUGUGACUGGCAAGCUAGAGUAUGGCAGAGGGGGGUGGAAUUCCGCGUGUAGCAGUGAAAUGCGUAGAUAUGCGGAGGAACACCGAUGGCGAAGGCAGCCCCCUGGGCCAAUACUGACGCUCAUGCACGAAAGCGUGGGGAGCAAACAGGAUUAGAUACCCGCGUAGUCCCUGUCUCUUAUAC
This 301-nucleotide ribosomal RNA is filed under the name uncultured bacterium. Its description in RNAcentral is "partial 16S ribosomal RNA". It matches the Rfam family "Bacterial small subunit ribosomal RNA", at positions 509 to 807 of the family's 1533-position model. The record is from RNAcentral.